This 253-nucleotide ribosomal RNA is filed under the name uncultured bacterium. Its description in RNAcentral is "partial 16S ribosomal RNA". It matches the Rfam family "Bacterial small subunit ribosomal RNA", at positions 524 to 776 of the family's 1533-position model. The record is from RNAcentral.
UACGGGGGGUGCGAGCGUUGUCCGGAUUCACUGGGCGUAAAGGGCGCGUAGGCGGCUGGCUCAGUCGGGCCUGUAAGUGCGGGGCUCAACCCCGUGAUGGGCUCGGGACGGGCUGGCUGGGGCGCGGUCGAGGGAGACGGAAUGCCGGGUGUAGUGGUGAAAUGCGUAGAGAUCCGGCGGAACACCGGUGGUGAAGACGGUCUCCUGGGCCGAGGGCCGACGCUGAGGCGCGAGAGCGUGGGGAGCGAACAGG